CCCUUAGAUGUCCUGGGCCGCACGCGCGCUACACUGAACGGAUCAGCGCGUUUUCCCUUCCCGAGAGGGACGGGUAACCUGCUGAACCCCGUUCGUGGUAGGGAUCGGGGCUUGCAAUUAUUCCCCGUGAACGAGGAAUUCCUAGUAAACGCAAGUCAUCAGCUUGCAUUGAUUACGUCCCUGCCCUUUGUACACACCGCCCGUCGCACCUACCGAUUGAAUGGUCCGGUGAAAUCUCGGGACGGCGGCUUGGUCGCUUGCGUCCGACUGCUGAAACUUGAUUAAACCAUAUCAUUUAGAGGAAGGUGAAGUCGUAACA
This 319-nucleotide ribosomal RNA is filed under the name uncultured eukaryote. RNAcentral describes it as "partial 18S ribosomal RNA". It matches the Rfam family "Eukaryotic small subunit ribosomal RNA", at positions 1470 to 1796 of the family's 1831-position model. The record is from RNAcentral.